Molecule: ribosomal RNA, 253 nt
Filed under: uncultured bacterium
Lineage: Bacteria
Description: partial 16S ribosomal RNA
Rfam family: Bacterial small subunit ribosomal RNA
Source: RNAcentral
UACGAAGGGGGCUAGCGUUGCUCGGAAUCACUGGGCGUAAAGGGUGCGUAGGCGGGUCUUUAAGUCAGGGGUGAAAUCCUGGAGCUCAACUCCAGAACUGCCUUUGAUACUGAAGAUCUUGAGUUCGGGAGAGGUGAGUGGAACUGCGAGUGUAGAGGUGAAAUUCGUAGAUAUUCGCAAGAACACCAGUGGCGAAGGCGGCUGACUGGUCCGGUUCUGACGCUGAGGCGCGAAAGCUAGGGGAGCGAACAGG